RNAcentral lists this ribosomal RNA (253 nucleotides) under uncultured bacterium. Its description in RNAcentral is "partial 16S ribosomal RNA". It matches the Rfam family "Bacterial small subunit ribosomal RNA", at positions 524 to 776 of the family's 1533-position model. The record is from RNAcentral.
GACGUAGGAGGCGAGCGUUAUCCGGAUUCACUGGGCGUAAAGCGCAUGUAGGCGGUUGCACAAGUCCGUUGUUAAAGCCCCUGGCUCAACUGGGGGAGGUCAAUGGAGACUGUGCGACUUGAGGGCAAUAGAGGCACGUGGAACUCCCGGUGUAGCGGUGGAAUGCGUAGAGAUCGGGAAGAACACCAGUGGCGAAGGCGGCUUCCUGGACCGACACUGACGCUGAGGCGCGAAAGCUGGGGGAGCAAACGGG